ACGAACGCUGGCGGCGUGCUUAACACAUGCCAGUCGAACGGAAAGGCCCUGCUUUUGUGGGGUGCUCGAGUGGCGAACGGGUGAGUAACACGUGAGUAACCUGCCCUUGACUUUGGGAUAACUUCAGGAAACUGGGGCUAAUACCGGAUAGGAGCUCCUGCUGCAUGGUGGGGGUUGGAAAGUUUCGGCGGUUGGGGAUGGACUCGCGGCUUAUCAGCUUGUUGGUGGGGUAGUGGCUUACCAAGGCUUGGAGGGGUAGCCGGCCUGGGAGGGGGGCCGGCAACAUGGGGAAUAAGAUCACGCCCGGCUGCAUCGGGGGGGAAGGGGGGGGGAGUGUGGCACAGGGGGAGGAACCCUGAUGGGGCGACGCCGGGUGGGGGGGGGUGGCCUCCGGUUGAUAGCCCGCUUUCGCCUGGGACGGAAGGGGGGUGACGGUAGUGGGAAAAGAAGCACCGGCUAACUACGUG
Molecule: ribosomal RNA, 467 nt
Filed under: uncultured bacterium
Lineage: Bacteria
Description: partial 16S ribosomal RNA
Rfam family: Bacterial small subunit ribosomal RNA
Source: RNAcentral